Non-coding RNA from Terramyces sp. JEL0728, 73 nucleotides. Lineage: Eukaryota; Fungi; Chytridiomycota; Chytridiomycetes; Rhizophydiales; Terramycetaceae. The record is from the annotation of a GenBank genome assembly.
GCUCCUUUGGCUCAGUUGGUAGAGCGUAGGUCUCAUAAUCCUAAGGUCGUGAGUUCGAAUCUCACAGGGAGCA